AUUGAACGCUGGCGGCAUGCUUUACACAUGCAAGUCGAACGGCGGCGCGUGCUUCGGCUUCGCAGCGAGUGGCGAACGGGUGAGUAAUGCAUCGGAACGUGCCCAGUCGUGGGGGAUAGCCCGGCGAAAGGCGGAUUAAUACCACAUACCAUCUGAGCGUGAAAGCGGGGGACCGAGAUGCCUCGCUGCAUUGGAGCCGCCGAUGUCGGAUUAGCUAGUUGGUGGGGUAAAGGCUUACCAAGGCGACGAUCCGUAGCUGGUCUGAGAGGACGACCAGCCACACUGGGACUGAGACACGGCCCAGACUCCUACGGGAGGCAGCAGUGGGGAAUUUUGGACAAUGGGGGCAACCCUGAUCCAGCCAUGCCGCGUGCGGGAAGAAGGCCUUCGGGUUGUAAACCGCUUUUGUUCGGGAAGAAAUCCUCUGGGCUAAUACCCCGGGGGGAUGACGGUACCGGAAGAAUAAGCACCGGCUAACUACGUG
Molecule: ribosomal RNA, 484 nt
Filed under: uncultured bacterium
Lineage: Bacteria
Description: partial 16S ribosomal RNA
Rfam family: Bacterial small subunit ribosomal RNA
Source: RNAcentral